CAGAGACUGCAAGCGUUAUUCGGAUUCACUGGGCGUAAAGGGUGUGCAGGCGGCCAAGUGUGUCAGGUGUGAAAUCCCGAGGCUUAACCUCGGAACUGCGCCUGAAACUACUUGGCUAGAGUACUGGAGAGGGUAACGGAAUUCACGGUGUAGCAGUGAAAUGCGUAGAUAUCGUGAGGAACACCAGAGGCGAAGGCGGUUACCUGGACAGUUACUGACGCUCAGGCACGAAAGCGUGGGGAGCAAAAGGGAUUAGAUACCCCUGUAGUCCACGCCCUAAACGGUGCACACUAGGUCUUGGCGGAUUCGAUCCCACCAGGGCCCAAGCUAACGCGUUAAGUGUGCCGCCUGAGGACUACGGUCGCAAGACUA
Molecule: ribosomal RNA, 372 nt
Filed under: uncultured organism
Description: bacterial SSU rRNA
Rfam family: Bacterial small subunit ribosomal RNA
Source: RNAcentral